AUGCUCGCUUCAACAGCACAUAUACUAAAGUUGGAAAUGAUACAGAGAUGAGCAUGGCCCUUGCUCAAGGAUGACACGCAAAUUUGUGAAGCGUUGCAUAAUUUU
This is a small nuclear RNA of Eubalaena glacialis (North Atlantic right whale), 105 nucleotides long. The record is from RefSeq and is a predicted model, not a curated record. NCBI's taxonomy places the organism in Eukaryota, Metazoa, Chordata, Mammalia, Artiodactyla, Balaenidae.